UUGAAAAGGAAUAAUUACGUAUGAACUUAAUUAGUAAAAUAUUAGAAACAACAUCCUUCAUUUUAUACAUCGCCAUAGCUGGUUUGGUUUGAAGAAUCUAACUUGGUGUUUUUUCUAGCUAUUGCAAGGAGGAUGGCCUAUAGCAUACCGACCAGCACAACUUGGAUAAACCACUCUGAAGCUCCCUCCUACUUAGGAGUUCAAAGACACUUAUCAUAUUUAAUAUCAAUAUCACUGCAGCAUCCUAUUCAUUCUUUUCCCUGUGAUUUUCACAUUCAUUCUAUUUCUUACAAAAAAAAUCAAACUUAACAAUUGCUGUAUUUGCCUAAUCCAAUGUGGGGUUCUACCCAACGGCACCCUGUUGACCUUAUUGACAUGCCACUAGCAGAUCAUGACCUAAGAAAAUUGAGAGAACAUCAUAUACAAGUUAAUCACCUUAUGGACUUACAAGAGAUAGCAAUACCUUCCAAUGAAGCUAUGCAUGUACAGGUAUAGAUGAGCUCAUGGAUACACAACCUUUCAACCGUUCAAGGAUGACAUUUCUGCUGACAAGCCCUGGGUGUGAAGUAAGAGGAAGGCCCUCUUUGACACAUUCAUCAUACUUCUCCAAAGCAGAAACUAUGUAACUGAAGUCUGGUCGUUUAGAUGGGUUUGCUGCCCAGCAACGCUUUAUCAAGUGUGCAAGUGCGGGCUGACAACUUGCUGGCAAUGGAGGCCGCUCAUUCUGCCACCACAAGAAAAUUGAUACAAGAUGAAACUAGCAUCAAGCUUUUCCCUAUUUCCCCUAACCUUUGGGGUAGAAAUUGCAGUUCAAAGUUCAAAACAUCAAUAGAUAUUUAGCAACAAAAAUAUAGGCCAAUGCAAAAAUGGAAACUUGACAAUUAUGUCCAAUUUAAGGACCCUGCAUAUAAUUUCCAUUUUCAUAAUCUCUGCAUGUUUAUGCAUCUCGGAUCCCCAUAUCUUCUGCAGAUUUAAGGAUAGGAGCCUCACAGAUAAUUUCAUUUUCUAGUUGAACUUCUAUAUUGCUCAUUUUUAUAUUUGUUUCAAGAUUCAGAAUUCAAAUAAAUUCUGGUUUGCAUUUGAAGCAAGGCGUCCUUUCUACAUGUAACAGCCAUAGCGGAAGCUCUCAGCUCCCUUGCAUACACUUCCUAACAUGACUAAUCAUGAGCUUCCAUUGUGUUAUUUGUGUCCAUAAGUUUAGUUUGUUCUUGCAUGCAGCAGACCAUCCAGAGGAAUACUGGGAGUUUUAUUUUCUUAACAUUGAACUGUUAGCCAUUGAUUUUUUUUUUUUUGCAAUAAAUACAACAGGCAAAACAGCACAAAGGGAAAACCUAAAAGUCUGAGAACAGUAGGGCAGCAGGAGGCCGGCAGCCAAAUUGCAUAGGAAGUUGGUAGAGGUGAGAACAAUGAAGCACCUUUUUUUUUGUGUGAUGUUAAAUGGUCAAAGAGCAAUGCAUAACUGACAACACUAGAGAAGAAAAGAUCAAUCUGCUCUCAUGUACUAGGAAAAGGAAUGUAGAGAAAGAGUGGCAAAACUCUUCAUGCAGAGUCCAUUAAGGAUUUUCAGCGUUAAAGCUGUGGCCUGUAAAUAGCAAUUAUAAUAUAUGCAGUGAGAAAUCACAUUGCAAAUUUUUCUAAAAGAUAAAUUCCUUUCUAUAUUAAUAUAUACCUCUCAACUUGUGGUACCCCUUGCUUUGGUGUGCAAACCCAAGCAAGCUACACAGCAAUCACUAUCAAAGGAUGAACUUAGGGCCUUGUAAUGCAUUAUUCAAUUCAAAAAAAAAAAAUCACUAUCAAAGGAACAAGCAUAUCAAGACCAAACCUUUGCAGCACUACUUGGGUAAAAUUAUCAAAGCAAGUAUGCUCCUUAUCCUUAAGUGAUAAAUCAAACAUUUCAGUGUGGAAAAAAAAAUGAAUGUUUCGCUCUUCAUAUUUAGAAGAAGAAACUUUCCAAGAUUGUUUUCUACUAACUUGUACCAAAAUGAAUAAUGCUCUUUCAGAGUCUACUAGCAUCAAAAUGUUACGCAAUAGAUAUCUGAAACUUUCCACCUAGAUUACAUACAGUAGGUAAAAAAUCUUAUUUAGUACGCAAUUAGGAGUGACUGCCCAAAAAACCUUUAACAGCUAUGGAUAAAUAAGAUAAAGAUCACCAAAUCAACAAAGAAAGUAGCUGAACAAAUAGAAUUAACAUAAUCUCCUCCUCUCUUCUAAGUGUUAGCGCUAAAAAUAUGUUUUACUAUUUUAGGCGACUCUGCCCUCACAUAAUGUACUAUUCAUGAAUACUUAAAAACAAAAGAUUCGCAUAAGACACUCCAAGUUCUACAGUUUGUAUACCAAAGGUAGGCAGCUGAGAGGUGAAUUUUGUUCAAAAUAUUGUGCAUAAAACAUUAUUUCUAAUCAUCUACAUUUGUGGCCUAUACAGGUCUAAAACAAACCAAUAUCACCCAUAUCGAAUGACCUCCUUGACGUAGUUUGAAAUAAAUUGCAAAACAAUACAAAUUUGCUUUUCUAACUCUUCCAUUAAAAUUUUAAAUUUUCAUUAAUUAGGCACUUCAAUCACAGGAGCUUUAGAAUGAAACAAAUUAAAUCUUCACCUUCUGUUUUGCACUGCAGAGGAAUAUCAAAGAAAUGAAAUAUUCGUUGCUACUAAUAAUUAAAGAAAGAAUAUAUAACAAGUAGAAGUAGAUAACUAGAUCAUCUUCGAUUCCAAUUGUUAGAGAUUAAGAUAUCAUAUUGAAAAUGUAAAACAAUAUAAAAGGGCUUAUAUGUUGUUAGAGUUUAGGCUUUUAGGUUGGAUAAGUGUCUCUCACACCAACUAUUAUAAACUAUGAAGAGCUAUGUCAUGAGGACGUGCAAAACUUGCAGAAACAUGGACAGGGUCCAUAAAAAUGUCUUCUUCAAAUUUCAAUGCAAACUAGAACAUCAUCAUCAUAGCAUUUCAUUGUGAAGCUCAGUCAUUUAAUUUGUCUAAUGCUCUGAUACAGUCUCAACCAAAACAUGGAACUAAUUCGGACAUUUAUUCCCAUUCUAUAGUACUGUUAGCAGAAAACAAUUAAAGUCAUUGAAGAGAAAGAUAAGAAUUCAAUAAAGGGAUGGUCAAAAACAAAAAAAUCAUGCAAAGGAAGAAAUCUAGCAAUGAGCAUAUUAUAUUUUAAAUUAAUAUGAUGAAAUUUGCAUCAACAUGUAGCUAUCUGACCUUCUCAGCCACAGCAAAUGCAGCCUGUACAGGGGUGAUUCCUUGAAAGGGAAGCAAAGCUGUAGUGAGCUCCCAUAACACAAUCCCAAAGCUAUAAACAUCAACUUUUCGAGUAUAUGGUUUUUCCUUGAUCAUCUCAGGCGCCAUCCAGCGGUAAGUUCCCUUGUUUCCUUUGGUUUCUCGGCACUGUGUUUCUAGACAAGAUGUACCAAAAUCUGCUACCUUAACCCGCAUUUCAUCAUUUAAAAGCAAAUUAUUUGAUUUGAGAUCUCUGUGGAUCACUCCUUGUGAAUGAAGAUACUCCAUUCCUCGUGAUAUAUCGAGAGCUAACCUCAGUAUUGUUUCUGUCGAAAGAGAGUAGGGCUCUUUCUUGUUGAGAUACAUCCUCAGUGUUCCUUGUGACAUGUAUUCUGUGAUGAUACAGUACACCGGUGGCCUUUUACAAGCUGCAAUGAACUGCACUAUGUUGGGAUGAAAGAGACGCGAAAGCAAAGCAACUUCUGAUUUAAAUUGCUGCUCAAGCAAAGCUCGAGUCUCCUCGUUUUGUUUUGGAAUUCUCACCAUUUUCACAGCAACAGCUCUCUGCUUAUAUAUUCCACGAUAAAUCCUACUGUGUGCCCCAGAGGCAAACUUGUUACCUAUAAACAGCUGCGAAAGGUCAGCAGUCCAUUCGUCUUGAUCCUCCUUUGAUGCCUCCCAGGCCUCCAUAUUCUCAGACUCCAAUAUCAUUGACCAUGAUUCCAAGCUGUCAAAUCUCUUCUUCUCCAUGUUCUCCAUGUCAGAGUUCAACUGGGUUUUCGAUGAGGAAGGAAUUGUUAACGGUUUGCUAUUCGAUCUACGAAGGCGAAACGCAUGGAAACAUGAACCCGCCAUUUGAAGCGGCUCUUCUUUCUCUAGCACUUGCUAUAGUAGGGAGGGUGUUUGUCGCUGUGCAGGAUAUUGUGCGUGUCAAAACAAACAAUCAAAAGGAGUUUUCCUUCUGAAUGUGUGAAUUGAUUUUAGAAAGUGCAUGAACUGAUUCAAAAACAUGGAUUCCGCAGAAAAAUUGAAAGGAAAGAUGGGUUUUCAUGAAUCGAUCGAAACAAGGACGAAAGGAAACCAUACCGAAUUCUUGAGAGGGAAAAAAAGAAAACAGAGCGAGUUAAUCAACAGAGCAGUUUCCAUUUGAAAAGAUGCUUACUUUGGAAAAGAAAAGGAGAUGCCAUCAUAGUUCAUAGAGACAUGUAAUAGAAAAAUAAAUUUCAUGUUAUGGGGAUUCGAUCAUGCAAACGAAAUUCAUGAAGAUGCACAGAGGGAAGAGACUUUCACGGCUCAUUUCCAAGAGAUCAGGCCGUAUGAUGAAUUCAAAGCAGAGACUUCCGGGAGGUCUCGUGAACGCCCCCCAUUCACAAGUUGGGAGCCUUUUUGUUCUCUGUUUCUGUUUUCCGUUUCCCUUUGGACCAUAAAUGCUAAGUGGCCACAGCUGUAAAAAGGUUUUCAUUCAUGAGAGAGAUGAUUGACAGGUUGAGCUUUGCAUAUGAUUCAAAACUUGGGAUAUAUGCCCAAUUGCCUAUCCUUUAUACUUUGUAUGUAUACGUGGAGACUGAAUGGAGAAACAAUUGGCAGAUCACUCACCAACCAUUGCAAUCACUCCAUUUUCCUUUUUCCUGUAUUGACUGAUUGCUCUGGUUAAAUUACAUAGGCAACCACUGGAAUGAUUUUUUGGGAGCUUCUCCUUCAUCCUGGUGUGAACCAAUCCAAUGUACGCCAUAGUUGCAUGUGAU
Molecule: unclassified non-coding RNA, 4959 nt
Filed under: Hevea brasiliensis (rubber tree)
Lineage: Eukaryota; Viridiplantae; Streptophyta; Magnoliopsida; Malpighiales; Euphorbiaceae
Source: RNAcentral